CGGACGGGUGAGUAACGCGUGGGUAACCUGCCUCAUACAGGGGGAUAACAGUUGGAAAUGACUGCUAAUACCGCAUAAGCGCACGGGACUGCAUGGUCCAGUGUGAAAAACCGAGGUGGUAUGAGAUGGACCCGCGUCUGAUUAGCUGGUUGGCGGGGUAACGGCCCACCAAGGCGACGAUCAGUAGCCGACCUGAGAGGGUGGCCGGCCACAUUGGGACUGAGAUACGGCCCAGACUCCUACGGAAGGCAGCAG
This 255-nucleotide ribosomal RNA is filed under the name uncultured bacterium. RNAcentral's name for it is "partial 16S ribosomal RNA". It matches the Rfam family "Bacterial small subunit ribosomal RNA", at positions 99 to 354 of the family's 1533-position model. The record is from RNAcentral.